Pelobates cultripes (western spadefoot toad) is the source of this 233-nucleotide non-coding RNA. The record is from the annotation of a GenBank genome assembly. Lineage: Eukaryota; Metazoa; Chordata; Amphibia; Anura; Pelobatidae.
CUGAUAAAACCACUUCCUCAGGCAGAGAAUUCCACAUCCUUAUUGUUCUUACAUUAAAAUAACUUUCCUUUGCUUUAGACAAACUCUUCUUUCUUCCAGUCUAAACACAUGACCUCGUGUCCUAUGUAAAGUGAAUAGAUUUGCACACAAUGGUUUGUAUUGGCCCCGAUAUUUGUAUAAUGUUAUCAUAUCCCCUCUCAGGUAAUGUUUUUCUAAAUUAAAUAGGUUCAAAU